Molecule: long non-coding RNA, 592 nt
Filed under: Gallus gallus (chicken)
Lineage: Eukaryota; Metazoa; Chordata; Aves; Galliformes; Phasianidae
Description: lncRNA (ENSGALG00010001610.1)
Source: RNAcentral
UUUACAUUUGAAGGCAUUCCUUUAGACAGAGCCAGAAGCUGUUUGCUUUUGAAUGGGAAGGUCCAGGAAUAUUUUCUGGCUGAAGACUUGGCCUGGGAGCAAACUUUUUCAGCUUGAUGCAGGAGGUUAGGGAGUGGUUCAGUUGCAUCCUGCAAAGACCAUCACACCUUGGACGACCCGCCUUUACCGAAGAUCAGCAGCCCCGACACCAAGACAUCGCUGGAUGAGAGGUAGCCGUGGAAGGAAAUGGCUGCCCCAGUUAGAAGCUGAGAAUGAAAUGACUCCUUUUCGGCUGCAGCAUUAGAGGGGCCUUCAGUAGACCAUGUGCUACAUGAGCACUCAUCUCAGCCUUGGGAACACUCCUGGGAUGCACUUUUUUUUUCUCUAUCCAACCUCCAGGCGAUGAGGAGAAAGUGAAAUGAUAGUAGACAUGGUAGCAAAGCAAGAAUUCAGUAUCAUAGAAUCAUAGAAUGGCUUGGGUUGGGAGGGACCUCAAGACCAUCGUGUUCCAACCCCUUUGCCACAGGAGGACUCAGAACAGAAGAUAUAGUACUGGUUUUGCUAUGAUUGGAAUAAUAAAUUUAAAUUUAAG